This 373-nucleotide ribosomal RNA is filed under the name uncultured organism. Its description in RNAcentral is "partial 16S ribosomal RNA". It matches the Rfam family "Bacterial small subunit ribosomal RNA", at positions 527 to 896 of the family's 1533-position model. The record is from RNAcentral.
GUAGGUGGCAAGCGUUGUCCGGAAUUAUUGGGCGUAAAGCGCGCGCAGGUGGGUUCUUUAAGUCUGAUGUGAAAGCCCCCGGGCUCAACCGGGGAGGGACAUUGGAAACUGGGGAACUUGAGUGCAGGAGAGGAAAGUGGAAUUCCACGUGUAGCGGUGAAAUGCGUAGAUAUGUGGAGGAACACCAGUGGCGAAGGCGACUUUCUGGCCUGUAACUGACACUGAGGCGCGAAAGCGUGGGGAGCAAACAGGAUUAGAUACCCUGGUAGUCCACGCCGUAAACGAUGAGUGCUAAGUGUUGGGGGGUUUCCGCCCCUCAGUGCUGCAGCUAACGCAUUAAGCACUCCGCCUGGGGAGUACGGUCGCAAGACUG